CGCCUCUUGACAAAAUAUAAGAGGUCUAGCCUGCCCAGUGACUCUGUUCAACGGCCGCGGUAUCCUAACCGUGCGAAGGUAGCGUAAUCACUUGUUCUUUAAAUGAGGACUAGUAUGAAUGGCAUCACGAAGGUUACACUGUCUCCUUUUUCUAAUCAGUGAAACUAAUCUCCCCGUGAAGAAGCGGGGAUAGACUUAUAAGACGAGAAGACCCUAUGGAGCUUUAAACUAAAUAACACCUGCUUUUAUACACCUUUACUCCAGAGUAGCUAACACUUAUUUUAGCCCCCUGAUUAUUAGUUUUAGGUUGGGGUGACCGCGGAGUAAAAAAUAACCUCCACAUUGAAUGGGGAAAUACCCCUGAGCUGCGAGCUACAACUCUAAGCACCAAUAGAUUGACAUUAAUUGACCCAAUAUAUUGAUCAACGAACCAAGUUACCCUAGGGAUAACAGCGCAAUCCGCUUCAAGAGCUCCUAUCGACAAGCGGGUUUACGACCUCGAUGUUGGAUCAGGGUAUCCCAGUGGUGCAGCCGCUACUAAAGGUUCGUUUGUUCAACGAUUAAAACCCU
Molecule: ribosomal RNA, 570 nt
Filed under: Dryophytes arenicolor
Lineage: Eukaryota; Metazoa; Chordata; Amphibia; Anura; Hylidae
Description: partial 16S ribosomal RNA
Rfam family: Bacterial large subunit ribosomal RNA
Source: RNAcentral